Long non-coding RNA from Quercus robur (English oak), 1181 nucleotides. RefSeq lists it as uncharacterized. NCBI's taxonomy places the organism in Eukaryota, Viridiplantae, Streptophyta, Magnoliopsida, Fagales, Fagaceae. The transcript has 2 exons. The record is from RefSeq and is a predicted model, not a curated record.
AAGGGUCCUCUACUGUUGUUUUCUUUUUCAUCUUCUCUCAGAUACAAACACUUAUCUCACACUCCCUCACACUCUCCCACCGGUACCUCCAUGCCACCAUCUCCACCAUCUUUUUCCGGCAAUGUUAUCGGAAAAUCCUUGAGAACCUCUAAGCAUCUUCAUCUUUUAUUUGAGUCUUUGUGACAAUGGAAUCAAAUCCAGGUCAGUGCCCUUUCACUUUGGAUGAUGCGUUCUUCCCUGUUGCCCAUGGGGAGAAGAGGUUCCUUGAUUGUGUGUGGGUGAGGCUGCUGCCCAUGGGGCCAAGAGACCACAUGCAAGAGAGGUCCUAUUUGACGCGCUCUCUCUAUUGCCCAUGGGGAGAGAGAAAAACCUUGAGGGUAUGGGUGAGGCUACUAUCCAUGGGGCCAAAAGUCUGCAUACUAGAGAGUACAAUAUCAUGCCAAUUGUGGAUGAGUGGAUCCCCUGACCGGUCUAAGUGGUAGUGUGGUAUCUUUGUGAUAAAAUUACAGUAUGUUAGAUUUUAUGGCCUUGGAAAUUAUAUUGUUAGUGCUCACAAAUUAUGGUAUAUAGUUUCAUGGUGUUAUUUUGUGAAACUUUGUGUUUCAUCAUUUAAUCAUUCUUGUUAUAUUAUUAUUGAAAAUGAUAUUGCAGUAUUCAGCUAGCAAUUUCUCAAACUAAAACAUGUUUUGUAAACUAUUCAUUAUCAUGAAACUUGCAUUUCCCCCACCCCCAUUAAUUAUACUACUUACUGGGCAUUAGCUCAUCCCACCCUCUAACAGUUUUUUAGAUUUAUUAGCUUUACCUUGGGUAGGGAGCUUACUUCCUUGGUGAUGAUUAGAGUGCUAUGUUAAAUUUGGAAACUCUUGCUGUAAAUGGUUGGUGACUCGAUAUUGCUAUGUUCAUCGAGACCUUAAUUAAUUCUACUGGAGAUUGGACACUUAAGGUUUGUUAACCUUAGGCAUGGUAGGCAUAGACUCGAUAUUGAUAUUCCUUAUUCUUGAUAAAAUUGUGACUUUGUGUAAUCCAAGAGUUUUGUAAUAUAUAUUUAUGUAUUAUGUGGAGGCACAUGAUUUUUAGUUAUUGUUUGUAAAUGUGUUAUAGAGUUUUGACUUGUAAUGUGGAGAUUUAUGGUUAUAUAUUCUUAUCCUAUGGAAAUGAAAGGAAAACAAAGAUCUCCUAUA